This 429-nucleotide ribosomal RNA is filed under the name Chloroflexota bacterium. RNAcentral describes it as "Chloroflexi bacterium partial 16S ribosomal RNA". It matches the Rfam family "Bacterial small subunit ribosomal RNA", at positions 355 to 776 of the family's 1533-position model. Lineage: Bacteria; Bacillati; Chloroflexota. The record is from RNAcentral.
UGGGGAAUAUUGCACAAUGGGCGCAAGCCUGAUGCAGCCAUGCCGCGUGUGUGAAGAAGGCCUUCGGGUUGUAAAGCACUUUCAGCGGGGAGGAAGGCGAUAAGGUUAAUAACCUUGUCGAUUGACGUUACCCGCAGAAGAAGCACCGGCUAACUCCGUGCCAGCAGCCGCGGUAAUACGGAGGGUGCAAGCGUUAAUCGGAAUUACUGGGCGUAAAGCGCACGCAGGCGGUCUGUCAAGUCGGAUGUGAAAUCCCCGGGCUUAACCUGGGAACUGCAUUCGAAACUGGCAGGGUAGAGUCUUGUAGAGGGGGGUAGAAUUCCAGGUGUAGCGGUGAAAUGCGUAGAGAUCUGGAGGAAUACCGGUGGCGAAGGCGGCCCCCUGGACAAAGACUGACGCUCAGGUGCGAAAGCGUGGGGAGCAAACAGG